Molecule: ribosomal RNA, 407 nt
Filed under: uncultured Clavulina
Lineage: Eukaryota; Fungi; Basidiomycota; Agaricomycetes; Cantharellales; Hydnaceae
Description: eukaryotic LSU rRNA
Rfam family: 5.8S ribosomal RNA (bases 116-269)
Source: RNAcentral
GCGAACUUCUAAACCUUUGACGAUUGACUCAUGUUGCCUCGNNNNUCCUCCCGCCAGAGGAUACAUCAAAACUCCUGUUUUAACGGUGUUGUCUGAGCUACAAGCAACGAAUCAAAACUUUCAACAACGGAUCUCUUGGUUCUGGCAUCGAUGAAGAACGCAGCGAAAUGCGAUAAGUAGUGUGAAUUGCAGAAUUCAGUGAAUCAUCGAAUCUUUGAACGCACAUUGCGCCCCUUGGUAUCCCGAGGGGCAUGCCUGUUCGAGCGUCAUUUCACCACUCAAGCCUAGCUUGGUGUUGGGCGACGUCCCUUUGGGACCCGCCUCGAAACUCUCGGCGGCGUGGCACCGGCUUUAAGCGUAGCAGAAUCUUUCGCUUUGAAGGUCGGGGCCCCGUCUGCCGGAAGACC